GGCUCUAAGCAAAUCUCAGAGGUCUGAGUUUCCCUUGCCCUCUGAUGCCACCUCAGAGAGCAGCCCCCUCUUCCAGGCUUCUGACCAGCUGACCUCUAGAGGGACCAAUUUCUGCUCUUGGAUCGAGAACAAGGGGCUGGAAUCAAUAAGAGGACAGAUUCUUCUCCUUUGUCUCCCUGUCUUCCUGAUCAGUCAGAUGCAGUAGCUCUGGAGAGAGGCAAGUUCCCCUACACUGGAGAUAGAAGUGAGGGGACCACUGCAGCUGCACCACUGGGAUGUUAGAGCUCCAACAGAGGGAUUGAAAUAAACCAUCAUGAAAGUCUCUCUGGGCCUGAGCU
Bos indicus x Bos taurus (hybrid cattle) is the source of this 338-nucleotide long non-coding RNA. Lineage: Eukaryota; Metazoa; Chordata; Mammalia; Artiodactyla; Bovidae. The record is from Ensembl.